Salvelinus fontinalis (brook trout) is the source of this 2010-nucleotide long non-coding RNA. RefSeq lists it as uncharacterized. The transcript has 3 exons. NCBI's taxonomy places the organism in Eukaryota, Metazoa, Chordata, Actinopteri, Salmoniformes, Salmonidae. The record is from RefSeq and is a predicted model, not a curated record.
AUAUAGCAGGCUUUCACGGCUGUAUCUUAACUGCACUAUUACAACCCUUCCCUAUUCCGAAAUCAUGAAUGAAUUACAAACUAGCUAGCUAGCUAUAUAUUUUGAAUCAAGCUACAAUAGGCUAUUCAAUCGGUUCAUUUUCAUGUUUGCCCAAUCAAAAGCUACUGUAACGUAUCAACCAUGGAACAACAAAGUGUACCUCAGGUUACACUCUCGCACUUCAAAACCCAUCACACAUAGUCACACUGUUACUACUGCCACCUUAGCUAGCUACUGCAUCGAUGGAUUCCGGAGAGAGAGAAAUCGGAAAUCGACAUUUUUAUAUAAUAAUGUUGUGCUGGGAACUGGUUCAGACGAUCAGUGGCGUCAACUUAUUGGCAACUACUUGUUGACACUAAGCCGGAGAGCGUCACCAUCAGCGACUCCGCAGACAGCUACUCAAACGAGCUCACCGAAGUCGAGGCCGAGCCCCUUGAGGAGGCAACCGAGGAAGACCCCCGUUAAUGGUGGAUCCGUCAAUUACAGCGCUUCAGUCAGUCAACGGGGAAUAUAUCAGUGAUGCUGGGAAAGAAAUUGAAAAGGCUCACGAGUUCAGGUGCACUUGCAAGACCAACAAAGAAAGCCCUACUAUUUGCUUUUUAUCCAUGAGGAGAUGGUCAAGAAAAGUGACCAGAUGAAUUAACUCACCAAUGAUAAUUUGGCAGUAUGUCCAACCGGCCUCACGACCUCAGACCAUCCCAGGACCUCACGACCUCAGACCAGCCCAGGACCUCCUCAUCCGGCUUCUUCACCUGCGGGAUCGUCUGGGGGUGUGUGGGGGAAUUUCCACAAAAAGUUGACUGCAGUGAUAAAGUUCGACAAGGAACAUGGUGUGGCUCCAAGGAAGAAGAGGUAUCGGGGUCGUCUCGCCAGCAAACGGGUGCUGUCCUACGAGGACAUUCAGCGAAUCAUCCACUAUCUCAAAACUAUGUCCACAUGAUGUCCAUGUACAUGUGCGCGAACGCACAUGCGCAUAUGUGUGAAAACAAGUGAAUGUAGCCAAUACAUUUUGUUGCGUGUAUGUCUACAAUCAUAUGUGCAAGCGUUUGCACGUAUACACAUGCACACAUAUACUGUACAUAUGCACGUAUACAUGUGCACGUGUAUGCAUAUACAUGCAUGUGGGUGCGCAACAACGAUGCAAACAGACACUGUCUGUAUAGUUAGAGCAAGAUGUAAUUAUAUGUAGCCUCUAUGUGUGUGUGUGUGAGAGAGAGAGAGAGAGAAUUAGUGUGUAAGUGAGAUUGACUGAGUGAGAAAAAGAAGAACAUGGGCACUCAUGUCAAGGGAUUUCAUGUAUUGUGUUUGGUAUUAAGUAAAUAGUUCUUAUUAAUUAUUUGAGUAAAUGUCUUAAAAGUAAAUGCAAACUUUGACUGUGUUUUUCUCUAAAACAUUUGGUGCCAAAUCAGCAGGUAAUGGCGCGUAACUCACUUGAUAUUUGGACUAGAUAGAUUAUAUUGGUCUCAUUAGAGAGCUAGCAUUCUCCUCUUUCCAGCACAGUAUAAAACUGUGUUUCGGGGACAAAGUGACUGAUUAUGAUAGAGCAAGUCACAUAUACAGUGCAUUUGGAAAGUAUUCAGACCCCUUAACUUUUUCCACAUUUUGAUGCGUUAAAGCCUUAUUCUAAAAUGUAUUCAAUUGUUUUUAUCCCUCAUCAAUCUACACACAAUACUCCACAAUGACAAGGCAAAAACUGUUUUUUUAAUAGAAAUGUUAGAAAAUAUAUUAAAAAUAAAAACUUAAAUAUUAUAUUUACAUAAGUAUUCAGAUCCUUUACUCAGUACUUAGUUGAAGCAUAUUUGGCAGCGAUUACAGCCUCAAGUCUUCUUGGGUAUUUUUUAUUUUUUAUUUCACCUUUAUUUAACCAGGUAGGAUAGUUGAGAACAAGUUCCCAUUUGCAACUGCGACCUGGCCAAGAUAAAGCAUAGCAAUUCGACACAUACAACACCACAGAGUUACACAUGGAAUAAA